GGACAGUGGCGGACGGGUGAGUAACGCGUGAGGAACCUGCCUUUCAGAGGGGGACAACAGUUGGAAACGACUGCUAAUACCGCAUGAUACGUUUUGGGGGCAUCCCUGAGACGUCAAAGAUUUAUCGCUGAAAGAUGGCCUCGCGUCUGAUUAGCUGGUUGGUGAGGUAACGGCCCACCAAGGGCGACGAUCAGUAGCCGGACUGAGAGGUUGACCGGCCACAUUGGGACUGAGAUACGGCCCAGACUCCUACGGGAGGCAGCAGUGGGGAAUAUUGGGCAAUGGGCGCAAGCCUGACCCAGCAACGCCGCGUGAAGGAAGAAGGCUUUCGGGUUGUAAACUUCUUUUAAGAGGGAAGAGCAGAAGACUGUACCUCUAGAAUAAGCCACGGCUAACUACGUGCCAGCAGCCGCGGUAAUACGUAGGUGGCAAGCGUUGUCCGGAUUUACUGGGUGUAAAGGGCGUGCAGCCGGGAAUGCAAGUCAGAUGUGAAAUCCAUGGGCUUAACCCAUGAACUGCAUUUGAAACUGUAUUUCUUGAGUACUGGAGAGGCAAUCGGAAUUCCUAGUGUAGCGGUGAAAUGCGUAGAUAUUAGGAGGAACACCAGUGGCGAAGGCGGAUUGCUGGACAGCAACUGACGGUGAGGCGCGAAAGUGUGGGGAGCAAACAGGAUUAGAUACCCUGGUAGUCCACACUGUAAACGAUGAAUACUAGGUGUGCGGGGACUGACCCCCUGCGUGCCGCAGUUAACACAAUAAGUAUUCCACCUGGGGA
This 774-nucleotide ribosomal RNA is filed under the name uncultured bacterium. RNAcentral's name for it is "bacterial SSU rRNA". It matches the Rfam family "Bacterial small subunit ribosomal RNA", at positions 90 to 879 of the family's 1533-position model. The record is from RNAcentral.